This 115-nucleotide small RNA is filed under the name Marmota monax (woodchuck). The record is from RNAcentral. Lineage: Eukaryota; Metazoa; Chordata; Mammalia; Rodentia; Sciuridae.
GCUGGGUGUAGUGGCAUGCAUCUGUAGCUCCAGCUAUUUGGGAGGCUGAGGCAGGAGGAUGGCUUGAGCCCAGGAGUUCAAGACCAGCUUGGGAAACAUAUCUUUUCUUCAUCAU